UACGGGGGGGGCAAGCGUUGUUCGGAAUUACUGGGCGUAAAGCGCACGUAGGCGGGUCGUUAAGUCAGGGGCGAAAUCCCAGAGCUCAACUCUGGAACUGCCUUUGAUACUGGCGACCUAGAGUUCGGAAGAGGUUAGUGGAAUUCCCAGUGUAGAGGUGAAAUUCGUAGAUAUUGGGAAGAACACCAGUGGCGAAGGCGGCUAACUGGUCCGAUACUGACGCUGAGGUGCGAAAGCGUGGGGAGCAAACAGG
This 253-nucleotide ribosomal RNA is filed under the name uncultured bacterium. RNAcentral describes it as "partial 16S ribosomal RNA". It matches the Rfam family "Bacterial small subunit ribosomal RNA", at positions 524 to 776 of the family's 1533-position model. The record is from RNAcentral.